CCUACGGGGGGCUGCAGUGAGGAAUAUUGGUCAAUGGGCGCGAGCCUGAACCAGCCAAGUCGCGUGAGGGAAGACGGUCCUAUGGAUUGUAAACCUCUUUUGUCGGGGAGCAAAAGACGCCACGCGUGGCGUUCCGAGAGUACCCUAAGAAAAAGCAUCGGCUAACUCCGUGCCAGCAGCCGCGGUAAUACGGAGGAUGCGAGCGUUAUCCGGAUUUAUUGGGUUUAAAGGGUGCGCAGGCGGAAGAUCAAGUCAGUGGUAAAAUUGAGAGGCUCAACCUCUUCGAGCCGUUGAAACUGGUUGUCUUGAGUGAGUGAGAGGUCGGCGGAAUGCGUGGUGUAGCGGUGAAAUGCAUAGAUAUCACGCAGAACUCCGAUUGCGAAGGCAGCAUACCGGCGCGCAACUGACGCUCAUGCACGAAAGUGUGGGUAUCGAACAGGAUUAGAUACCCGGGUAGUC
RNAcentral lists this ribosomal RNA (459 nucleotides) under uncultured bacterium. RNAcentral describes it as "partial 16S ribosomal RNA". It matches the Rfam family "Bacterial small subunit ribosomal RNA", at positions 338 to 795 of the family's 1533-position model. The record is from RNAcentral.